GAUGAACGCUGGCGGCGUGCCUAAUACAUGCAAGUCGAGCGAACGGACGAGAAGCUUGCUUCUCUGAUGUUAGCGGCGGACGGGUGAGUAACACGUGGAUAACCUACCUAUAAGACUGGGAUAACUUCGGUAAACCGGAGCUAAUACCGGAUGAUAUUUUGAACCGCAUGGUUCAAAAGUGAAAGACGGUCUUGCUGUCACUUAUAGAUGGAUCCGCCCUGCAUUAGCUAGUUGGUAAGGUAACGGCUUACCAAGGCAACGAUGCAUAGCCGACCUGAGAGGGUGAUCGGCCACACUGGAACUGAGACACGGUCCAGACUCCUACGGGAGGCAGCAGUAGGGAAUCUUCCGCAAUGGGCGAAAGCCUGACGGAGCAACGCCGCGUGAGUGAUGAAGGUCUUCGGAUCGUAAAACUCUGUUAUUAGGGAAGAACAUAUGUGUAAGUAACUGUGCACAUCUUGACGGUACCUAAUCAGAAAGCCACGGCUAACUACGUG
Molecule: ribosomal RNA, 497 nt
Filed under: uncultured bacterium
Lineage: Bacteria
Description: partial 16S ribosomal RNA
Rfam family: Bacterial small subunit ribosomal RNA
Source: RNAcentral